RNAcentral lists this ribosomal RNA (472 nucleotides) under uncultured bacterium. Its description in RNAcentral is "bacterial SSU rRNA". It matches the Rfam family "Bacterial small subunit ribosomal RNA", at positions 330 to 794 of the family's 1533-position model. The record is from RNAcentral.
UCCAGACUCCUACGGGAGGCAGCAGUGGGGAAUAUUGCGCAAUGGGCGAAAGCCUGACGCAGCGACGCCGCGUGAGGGAUGAAGGUUUUCGGAUCGUAAACCUCUGUCAGAAGGGAAGAAAGUGCGUGGUGCUAAUCAGCCGCGUAUUGACGGUACCUUCAAAGGAAGCACCGGCUAACUCCGUGCCAGCAGCCGCGGUAAUACGGAGGGUGCGAGCGUUAAUCGGAAUUACUGGGCGUAAAGCGCACGUAGGCUGUUGUGUAAGUCAGGGGUGAAAUCCCACGGCGCAACCGUGGAACUGCCCUUGAUACUGCAUGACUGGAAUCCGGGAGAGGGUGGCGGAAUUCCAGGUGUAGGAGUGAAAUCCGUAGAUAUCAGGAGGAACACCGGCGGCGAAGGCGGCCUGCUGGACCGCGACUGACGUUGAGGCUCGAAAGCGUGGGGAGCGAACAGGAUUAGAUACCCGAGUAAA